RNAcentral lists this transfer RNA (74 nucleotides) under Flavobacteriaceae bacterium. RNAcentral describes it as "tRNA-Arg". It matches the Rfam family "tRNA". Rfam says of the family: Transfer RNA (tRNA) molecules are approximately 80 nucleotides in length. Their secondary structure includes four short double-helical elements and three loops (D, anti-codon, and T loops). The record is from RNAcentral. Lineage: Bacteria; Pseudomonadati; Bacteroidota; Flavobacteriia; Flavobacteriales; Flavobacteriaceae.
GCGCUCGUAGCUCAAAUGGAUAGAGCACCUGACUUCGGAUCAGGGGGUUGUGGGUUCAAGUCCUACCGAGCGCG